This 508-nucleotide ribosomal RNA is filed under the name Ypthima huebneri. RNAcentral's name for it is "partial 16S ribosomal RNA". The record is from RNAcentral. Lineage: Eukaryota; Metazoa; Arthropoda; Insecta; Lepidoptera; Nymphalidae.
GUCUUUUUGAUAAUAAUUUAAAGUCUAAUCUGCCCACUGAUAAUAUUAAAGGGCUGCAGUAUUUUGACUGUACAAAGGUAGCAUAAUCAAUAGUUUUUUAAUUGAAAACUUGUAUGAAAGAUUUAAUGAAAUAUAAACUGUCUCAUUAUUAUUAUUAAAAAUUUAUUUUUUAGUUAAAAAGCUAAAAUAAUUUUAAAAGACGAGAAGACCCUAUAGAGUUUUAUGUUUUUAUUUAUUAAAAAAUUAUAUUAAAAUUAAUAAUUAGAAUAAAUAAAAAUAUUAUAUUGGGGUGAUAAAAAAAUAAAAUUAACUUUUUUAUAAUAAAAUACAGAUAAGUAAAUAAUUGAUCCAUAUAUAAUGAUUAAAAGAAAAAAUUACCUUAGGGAUAACAGCGUAAUAUUUUUUUUUAGUUCAAAUAAAAAAAAAAGUUUGCGACCUCGAUGUUGGAUUAAGAUAAAAUUUAAAUGCAAAAGUUUAAAAUUUUGAUCUGUUCGAUCAUUAAAAUCUU